GUUUGGUGUUUAGUUUAAUCGGUGAUAUUAUUUGGAUAAGGAUUUUUAAAAGAUUAAACGGCAAUUAAAUACGGAAAUGGACGGACGAAAGUUAUCUGGCUCGUAUUGGCGCAAAAGAAAACUGGAAAAACAGCAAAAGGAAAAGAAAGCUUUAGAAAACACUCUUAAACUCACAAGUUUUUUUACACGGGGUAACACAGACGUAGACGAGAGCAGAAGUAUAUGCGAACCUCAACCUGGACCAAGUACGAGCACUAGCCUUGCAAAUGAGAUGAAUACCCAAGAGACCGGUCUUGAGAUGGAGCCACAGGAAAGUCUUUUGCAAAAUAAUACAGUUGGUGAUAGUAUUAUAGAUGCAAAAACAGACGAUUGGACCGAAUUUAAGGAUUCGGCACUUUGGAAGGAUGGUCAAAAUUUUGUGCAAAUUCUUUUGGAUAACUGGACCGAACAAAUUCUUGAUAAAAUUGACUUUUCAAUGUCUAAAAGAAAACAUGGGGACCAAAAUAGUCAGUGUGGACUCAACACCCGAUAUAUCACAUCAGGAUCAGCUAACAAUAAUUUUAAGGUAUUGCAAUAGUAAA
Long non-coding RNA from Anthonomus grandis grandis, 581 nucleotides. RefSeq lists it as uncharacterized. The transcript is spliced from 4 exons. The record is from RefSeq and is a predicted model, not a curated record. NCBI's taxonomy places the organism in Eukaryota, Metazoa, Arthropoda, Insecta, Coleoptera, Curculionidae.